Molecule: ribosomal RNA, 478 nt
Filed under: Blastocystis sp.
Lineage: Eukaryota; Bigyra; Opalinata; Blastocystidae
Description: SSU rRNA
Rfam family: Eukaryotic small subunit ribosomal RNA
Source: RNAcentral
GGAGGUAGUGACAAUAAAUCACAAUGCGGAACUUCUGUUUUGCAAUUGGAUUGAGAACAACGCACAACACUUAUCGAUAAACAAUUGGAGGGCAGGUCUGGUGCCAGCAGCCGCGGUAAUUCCAGCUCCAAUAGCGUAUAUUAACGUUGUUGCAGUUAAAAAGCUCGUAGUUGAAGUGAAGUAAUGAAGUUGUGACUUGAUUUAUCAUUUCGCUCCUUAAUUACUCUUUCCAAACUGUUUGCACGGGUAUUCAUUUACUUGUGUAUUGCAUUUGGUCGUUUACUGUGAGAAAAUUAGAGUGUUCAAAGCAUACGUUUGUUUGAAUACAUUAGCAUGGAAUAAUUCGAAAAGGCUUUCAUGUUCGAUUUGAUUGGUUUGUUCGUGAGAGCAAGAUUAAAAGGGACAGUUGGGGGUAUUCAUAUUCAAUAGUCAGAGGUGAAAUUCUCGGAUUUAUGGAAGAUGAACAAGUGCGAAAGCA